Molecule: RNA transcript, 5211 nt
Organism: Acinonyx jubatus (cheetah)
Lineage: Eukaryota; Metazoa; Chordata; Mammalia; Carnivora; Felidae
Gene: ABLIM3
Gene name: actin binding LIM protein family member 3
Exons: 22
Source: RefSeq, a predicted model, not a curated record
CGGUGGCUGCUCCCGAGGCCGGGCGGGGACGCGCUGCCCCCGCCCUGCCUCCCCGUGGUCCACACCCCCUUUGGGCUCCGGAGCCGCGGGGACGGAGUAGUCGGGGGUGCGCGCGGGCCGGCGCUGGCAGCCCCGCUCAGCCCGGCACUGGGGUCCGAGGGGCCGCAGGACGCGGCGCGCGUGCCCUCCCGCCGCCUCCUCCUCCCUGCUCUCACCUGCGCCCGUUAGCCCACUAGCCUUCAAGGCUGCAGCCAGUGGCUGCAGCCCAGUCCGCGAGGGUCGGACCGCAGAGGGAGAGAGAGCACCUGAGGAUACAGAGCGGGCACUGGACUGCCUUUUCACUCCCCAGGUGAUGAGUGAGGUCGGAAGAUCGCAAGAUUUAAAAAGCAACCGGGUCCUCCGUAUUGAAUGAAAGACCCAGUGCAAAGGCAUCACCAUGAACACGAGCAUUCCUUAUCAGCAGAAUCCUUACAAUCCCCGAGGCAGCUCCAAUGUCAUCCAGUGCUACCGAUGUGGAGACACCUGCAAAGGGGAAGUGGUUCGUGUCCACAAUAACCACUUCCACAUCAGAUGCUUCACCUGUCAAGUGUGUGGCUGCGGCCUGGCCCAGUCGGGCUUCUUCUUCAAGAACCAAGAGUACAUCUGCACUCAGGACUACCAGCAACUCUACGGCACCCGCUGCGACAGCUGCCGGGACUUCAUCACCGGGGAGGUCAUCUCUGCCCUGGGCCGCACCUACCACCCCAAGUGCUUCGUGUGCAGCUUGUGCAGGAAGCCUUUCCCCAUUGGAGACAAGGUGACCUUCAGCGGGAAGGAAUGCGUGUGUCAGACAUGCUCCCAGUCCAUGACCAGCAGUAGGCCCAUCAAGAUCCGCGGACCGAGCCACUGUGCCGGGUGCAAGGAGGAGAUCAAGCACGGCCAGUCGCUCCUGGCGCUGGACAAGCAGUGGCACGUCAGCUGCUUCAAAUGCCAGACCUGCAGCGUCAUCCUCACGGGGGAGUACAUCAGCAAGGAUGGUGUUCCGUACUGCGAAUCUGACUACCACUCCCAGUUUGGCAUUAAAUGCGAGACCUGUGACCGAUACAUCAGCGGCAGGGUCUUGGAGGCGGGAGGGAAGCACUACCACCCAACCUGUGCCAGAUGCGUACGUUGCCACCAGAUGUUCACCGAAGGAGAGGAGAUGUACCUCACAGGUUCUGAGGUUUGGCACCCCAUCUGCAAACAGGCAGCCCGGGCAGAGAAGAAGUUAAAGCAUAGGCGGACGUCCGAAACUUCCAUCUCACCCCCUGGCUCCAGCAUCGGAUCACCCAACCGAGUCAUCUGCGCUAAAGUGGAUAAUGAGAUCCUUAAUUACAAAGACCUGGCAGCUCUCCCCAAGGUCAAGUCCAUCUACGAGGUACAACGCCCUGACCUCAUUUCCUACGAGCCUCAUUCCAGAUACACGUCCGACGAGAUGCUGGAGAGAUGUGGCUAUGGAGAGUCGCUGGGAACACUAUCUCCCUACUCCCAGGACAUCUACGAGAGCCUGGACCUCCGACAGAGAAGGGCCUCCAGCCCAGGAUACAUCGACUCCCCCACCUACAGCCGGCAGGGCAUGUCUCCCACCUUUUCCCGCUCGCCUCACCACUACUACCGCUCUGGGCCCGAGAGUGGCCGGAGCUCUCCAUACCAUAGCCAGUUAGAUGUGAGGUCCUCCACUCCGACCUCUUACCAGGCUCCCAAGCACUUUCACAUCCCAGCUGGAGAAAGUAACAUCUACCGGAAACCCCCGAUCUACAAACGGCAUGGCGAUUUGUCAACAGCAACCAAAAGCAAAACAAGUGAAGACAUCAGCCAGGCCUCCAAGUAUAGUCCAGCCUACUCACCAGACCCCUACUAUGCUGCAGAGUCUGAGUACUGGACCUACCAUGGGUCCCCCAAAGUGCCCCGAGCCAGAAGGUUCUCAUCUGGAGGAGAGGAAGACGACUUUGACCGCAGCAUGCACAAGCUCCAGAGUGGAAUUGGCCGGCUGAUUCUGAAGGAGGAGAUGAAGGCCCGGUCCAGCUCCUACGCGGAUCCCUGGACCCCACCCCGGAGCUCCACCAGCAGCCGGGAGGCCCUGCACACAGCUGGCUAUGACAUGUCCCUCAAUGGCUCCCCUCGGUCCCACUACCUGGCUGACAGCGGUAUGUUCUGCCUGCCCUCCCUUCAGCCUCUCGUGUCUUGUGAGAGCCAGAGCUGGAGGCGGGUCCCCUGGAGCUGUGAUGUCCCAACACGAUCCCGAACUCAAAUAGCCCACCCCACCGUGUUUGUCAGAUACCCCCUCAUCUCCAAAUCUGCCUCCCUGCCUGCCUACCGAAGAAAUGGGCUACACAGGACACCCAGCGCAGACCUCUUCCACUAUGACAGCAUGAAUGCCGUCAACUGGGGCAUGCGAGAGUACAAGGUAAAGGAGAUGCGUUGACCCUGGGGGUCUCUGGGACCCUGGGAGCCGCUCCAUUGGGGGCCAGCAGGAGGAUGACUGCACUAUCUAUGCAGGGAAGGGAACAUCGAAUAAAUAACCUCAAGGGUCCUCUUGAGACCGACAUAUCCGGUCCCUCCCUGGCCAGCUUUCCCCGAAUCCUACCCUAUGUCUUUUGCCCGCUGAAAUCAGACAGUUCCUUGUGGGCCUCGGAGACUUUCUGGAGGCUUGCCAAUCACGAGACCUGAGACGUUUACAAUUAGGAGGCCUUGUGCCAAUUUAUGUCAAACACCACCAAGCUUAUUCUUAGCAGUAUUAGGGGAUUCAGGUUUUGCCUUUGGGGAGAAGGUGCCUUGAGGCCGUCAGGCAACUCCAAGAACAGACCCAGCCCUUCCUCCAGACUUUAACCACUGGCCCUUUCUGGGGAGAGGAGGGAGCCCAGACACAACAUGCGGCUGAAGGGAUAAGCCUACCACCUUCACCUGACCUGGAAACCCACCCCCCCCCACCCUGUCUUUUCUCCUUAGAUCUACCCUUAUGAACUUCUGCUGGUGACCACAAGAGGAAGAAAUCGACUGCCCAAGGAUGUGGACCGGACGCGUUUAGAGCGCCACCUGUCCCAGGAGGAGUUCUACCAGGUCUUCGGCAUGACCAUCUCUGAGUUUGACCGGCUGGCCCUCUGGAAGAGGAAUGAACUGAAGAAGCAAGCCCGGCUGUUCUAGGCAGAGGCUCUAUAAAUAUAUAUGCAUUUAUAUAAAGAUAUAUGUAAAAUCUCUAUACUGAAGCUCGGUAUAAUCCUCUCUUGUGUAAUGGGACACACUGCCUGCCAUGAGACUUGCUUUUCUGUACUGUCAGGCAAGCCCACGUCAUCGAGAUAUUUUUAUGCUCCUUACUCUCUCUUUUCUAAGUGCUCUGGGGUUUGGGAAGGGAUUUGAGGGGACUCCCAUCCUUUUGCUGGGGAUCCUUUUUAUACUGAAACAUCUGUCCGUAACCUGAGUCCCCCAAGGUCCAACUCUCUUUCCUAAGGAGGUGCCUGAAGAAGUCUCUCUUCUCUCUGCUUCUCGGCUCUUGCCCCAGUCUCCAGGGUGGAUGCUGACCAUGGAGUUUUCACACCUUAUUGGCCCCAGAGGGGCCCUCCCAUGGGAGGAGCCACAGCGAUCUCCCUAAGUCCCUGAGCGCCUUUGAGAGCCCGUGCAGAAUUUUCUCCACCUCUCCAAUUAAGAGUUCGGGGCUCUCUGGGGGUGAUGCGCUUAGCAGUGUGGGCCUCGGAUCUACUCGAUACAGCAGCACACAGAAGUGGAUAGGGCCUUGGCCUCUCUGCAGCUCCUCAGUCCUCCUCCUUCUGUCCUUGAUCCUAACCUCUCCCUUGUCCAAGUCUCACGGUAGGGGAAGAAAAGGCACUUCCCUUCCCUCCGCCACUUGCAACUGGCCCCUUUGCCUGGCCCUGACGCGGAGACGAGGGAAGACGCGGGAGCUGGAAGCAGGAGCCAGAGCAGGGCACCUGUUAGAAUUGGAGCUGCAGGACCUCUUGGGACCCUCCUCUCACCCCCACUGUUCCCAGCGCCUCCUGACCCUUCCCCCCUUUGGAAGAGAGGCCCAGUACUGCAGCCUGUAUUCUUUGGCCUUACUACAAUCAAUGUGCCUGACAACUCAACACACCACAGGGCUAAUGUUCCCAUCAUAGCUCCAACAGUACAACUAGACAGACAACCUCUAAUACCCCUCUAAACAUCGGACAGGCCAUGUCCCAGAGAGAGCUUCCUGGUCUACCCCUGCUGGUCCCUAGGCUAAAAGGGCAACCAAACCAGCCCCCCACCAGUCAUCGGCUCCCACUACAAGGUUGGCCAUGUCUCAUUGGGGAAACCUUUGGAAGAAUGGCUGCUUAUAGAAUUCCAGAAUGAAGCAUUGGCCAACACUGCUCACGAUCACCCUGGAUUUCCCCAGUGGCUGCCUUCCCUGCCCCCUUGCCUUCCUGAACAAGAGUAAAAGCUUAACUUUAGCUUCACUCCUCUCCUCCCUUCCCCAAACCUUUGACCCCAAGUUGGUGAUGUUUGGUGGGUCUGUUCCUUCUUGGAGAUGCCUUGAUUUAGAUCACUCUGAGGUCAUGGAGGAAAGACGAAGAAGUGAGAAUAACCAUUAUCACUGUCAAGAGGCUGGUGAUGUGACGUGGCAAAUAUAGAACUGACUUCAGUCCAGCAAACCCUCACUGAGCACCUGCUGAUGCUGAGCACCUGCUGUAUACAGAGCACGGAAUAAGGGAAGGAGAUGGGAACACCAAGAUGAGCAACACGGGAUCUGGGCCGGGGUGGGGGGCAUGCCUACUAACAAUGGGUGUCGUCAGGCAUGAACUCAAACGUGACGGUUGUAAGGCGGGAAGUGAUGGGAGAUGGCACGAGAGCAUGUUUGGAGCAUUCCUGAAAAGGUAGAUGCAGUUGGUGGAGACCAAGGAACGCUUUCUGGAAGAGAUCGCAUUUGAGCAAAGUUCAGGAAGGAUCUUUGUAAACUGAGAAGAGACUAUGACUUGAAAGGGUGAUGGGAUGAGGGGCCAAAAAGAGGUCUAACGUACUCUCAUUUAAAACAUCAACCCUCUCUGCAAUUCUCUUUUUGGCCAGUGUAUUUCAACUGUCCUGACCCUUUAGAAAUGUCCCCAGCCAGACACAAUCAUUGAAACUGCCUCAUUAUCACUGGUUGAGAACUUGGCAAGAUUGAAGGGCUUUUGUUAUUGUUGUUGGGCUUUUCUGUUUCCCAUAAAAGCACAUAAUUUCAACCCA